UUAUACCGCGAAACUGCGAAUGGCUCAUUAUAUAAGUUAUCGUUUAUUUGAUAAUACUUUACUACUUGGAUAACCGUGGUAAUUCUAGAGCUAAUACAUGCUGAAAAUCCCGACUUCGGAAGGGAUGUAUUUAUUAGAUUAAAAACCAAUGCCCCUCGGGGCUCUCUGGUGAAUCAUGAUAACUAGUCGAAUCGACAGGCCUUGUGCCGGCGAUGGCUCAUUCAAAUUUCUUCCCUAUCAACUUUCGAUGUUUGGGUAUUGGCCAAACAUGGUGGCAACGGGUAACGGAGGGUUAGGGCUCGACCCCGGAGAAGGAGCCUGAGAAACGGCUACUACAUCCAAGGAAGGCAGCAGGCGCGCAAAUUACCCAAUCCCGACACGGGGAGGUAGUGACAAUAAAUACUGAUACAGGGCUCUUUUGGGUCUUGUAAUCGGAAUGAGUACAAUUUAAAUCCCUUAACGAGGAACAAUUGGAGGGCAAGUCUGGUGCCAGCAGCCGCGGUAAUUCCAGCUCCAAUAGCGUAUAUUAAAGUUGUUGUGGUUAAAAAGCUCGUAGUUGAACCUUGGGCCUGGCUGGCCGGUCCGCCUCACCGCGUGCACUGGUCCGGCCGGGCCUUUCCCUCUGCGGAACCCCAUGCCCUUCACUGGGUGUGGCGGGGAAACAGGACUUUUACUUUGAAAAAAUUAGAGUGCUCAAGGCAGGCCUAUGCUCGAAUACAUUAGCAUGGAAUAAUAGAAUAGGACGUGUGGUUCUAUUUUGUUGGUUUCUAGGACCGCCGUAAUGAUUAAUAGGGACAGUCGGGGGCAUCAGUAUUCAAUUGUCAGAGGUGAAAUUCUUGGAUUUAUUGAAGACUAACUACUGCGAAAGCAUUUGCCAAGGAUGUUUUCAUUAAUCAGGAACGAAAGUUAGGGGAUCGAAGACGAUCAGAUACCGUCGUAGUCUUAACCAUAAACUAUGCCGACUAGGGAUCGGACGAUGUUACAUUUUUGACGCGUUCGGCACCUUACGAGAAAUCAAAGUGCUGGC
Molecule: ribosomal RNA, 1027 nt
Filed under: Trichoderma sp. 1 PC-2011
Lineage: Eukaryota; Fungi; Ascomycota; Sordariomycetes; Hypocreales; Hypocreaceae
Description: SSU rRNA
Rfam family: Eukaryotic small subunit ribosomal RNA
Source: RNAcentral